CAGCAGCCGCGGUAAUACGUAGGGUGCGAGCGUUAAUCGGAAUUACUGGGCGUAAAGGGCUCGCAGGCGGUUUCUUAAGUCUGAUGUGAAAGCCCCCGGCUCAACCGGGGAGGGUCAUUGGAAACUGGGAAACUUGAGUGCAGAAGAGGAGAGUGGAAUUCCACGUGUAGCGGUGAAAUGCGUAGAGAUGUGGAGGAACACCAGUGGCGAAGGCGACUCUCUGGUCUGUAACUGACGCUGAGGAGCGAAAGCGUGGGGAGCGAACAGGAUUAGAUACCCGAGUAGUCCCUGUCUCUUAUAC
Molecule: ribosomal RNA, 301 nt
Filed under: uncultured bacterium
Lineage: Bacteria
Description: partial 16S ribosomal RNA
Rfam family: Bacterial small subunit ribosomal RNA
Source: RNAcentral